Molecule: ribosomal RNA, 257 nt
Filed under: uncultured bacterium
Lineage: Bacteria
Description: partial 16S ribosomal RNA
Rfam family: Bacterial small subunit ribosomal RNA
Source: RNAcentral
GUCCGCACAGUAAACGAUGAAUACUAACUGUUUGCGAUACACAGCAAGUGGUACAGUGAAACGUUAAGUAUUCCACCUGGGGAGUACGCCGGCAACGGUGAAACUCAAAGGAAUUGACGGGGCCCGCACAAGCGGAGGAACAUGUGGUUUAAUUCGAUGAUACGCGAGGAACCUUACCCGGGCUUGAAUUGCAAAUGAAUAGUGUGGAAACAUGCUAGCCAGCAAUGGCAUUUGUGAAGGUGCUGCAUGGUUGUCGU